CGCUCGUUGCAUUAGACAGAUAGCCAGCACACCCCCGUCGUUCAUCGGGCUCACAACUGCACUCGCCUCGCCAGUUGUAUUGGAGAGGAUAGAUAGCUCUUCGCCAGAGAAGGAUUGCCCUCUUGAGAUGGGCUGUUCUUUCAUCUCUAUCUUGGUUCCAUCCUAAUGGAUCCAAAUCUAUGGCCGCCAAGCAAAUCACGGAUGACGAUGAACUGUGUCUUCUCCUGCCACUGUCAGGGCCUCAGCCCUAUGAACGUCAGAUACUUGUAUGCGGCUAUCUUCCUCCAGCUGGCGAACCUGUCUGCGUGGUUCGCACGAGAGAAUACCGUAUCGUAUUACCUGAAGCAGCGACUCAGCGGCGCCUGUCAGGGUGACCGGGGUUGUCUCGCGGCUGAAAGCGUGCUCGUGGCGAGCCAUGCAUUCUUUCUCUUUUUUAUGGCCAUGUUCUUCUCCACUGUACGCACCGGCAAGGUGAAUGAGUUGAGAAAUUUAUGGCACUGCGGGUGGUGGCCAGUGAAGAUUGCCCUCUUCAUGGUCUAUUUUCUCGUCUCUGUCUUGGCUCCAUCCUGGUGGAUCCAAAUCUAUGGAUAUUUCUUGUAGUUCAGCUCAUAAGUUUUAUGAGAUUUAUCACAAGGCUGAACUACAAAUUGUGCCAAACCAAUUACCAAGGAAGGUACCUCGUGGUGUUUGGGAUCUCUAUCUUUGCCAACAUUGGCUCUACGGGGUUGAUAAUAUUCAUGAUUGUCAAGCUCAGACACUACUGGCUCGACAUCGAGUUUCUUGGCACCACGCUGGUGCUAGUGUAUAUUAUGUGCGCUCUCUCAUUAAUAUCCAAGGCCAAUAAAUUAUUCAUGGAGCCUGGGAUAAUUUGUGGGUAUAUUUUGUUCCUCUUGCCUGUUAGCGAUUACAAGUGAGCCCAAAUCAAGCUGCUACCAGAAACACAAAGCAGGUCCACAUGCUAUUUGGAUAACAAUUUCCGUAAGUAUAUAUAUGGUCUAUUUCGAUCUAGGGUUCUUAUCUAGUAUCGUCAGUGAUAUUUAAAAAAACAUUAUGUUGACAUAUAUAUAUCAACACUGGUAGUGUUUUGUUUUUGGACUGCUCGGCACCAUUUAUUCUACUUUUUCCACAGGCAGCGACUACAAAUGCAUACAAGUAUGUUAAUUAUUCACAUGAAGAGAUUAGUCAUAACUAUCAACAAAACUGAUGAAUGUGUGUUUUAUUAACUGAAAAUGCCUCAAACCUUCCAUGCAGUUGUGGAACAUUAUAGAGUCAGAAGACGACGUACCAUAUGGCUUAGUACCAAGCAGAAAGAAUGCCAAAGGCCUAGGGCAAAUUAAGGGUGGCAAUUACUAGAGCCCCGGCCAGGACGUGUCUCUGUUCUUGGAAAGCCCGAAGAACGCCCUCUCAACGGCCUGAUUCCCGUUCUAACGCUGCAUCAGAUUAACAUCCACAGCACGGGAUGCAGCGGCACCAUGGGAUGUGAGCAAAGCGUGUAACCAAGGCGAAGACAACUCGAACACCAUUGUCCGGCAUCCUCAUCAAAGAACAAAGAGCUAGCUAGCGAGCAGCGAGGUAUCACAGUGCAAAUGCAAUACAGACGGACAUCUGAAUCGGCCACGUUGCAUGCAUGUAUCGGACGACGGGGAGACGAGAAGCACUAUUUAGAACAGGGACAGACACCAUAGCUUCUAGCUCUGUAUCGCUUGGGAGCUUGCUUAUGAAGACCGUCAUCCAUGGUCGGGCUUGUGCUUGAGCCUGCGUCUGCGUGCUAGCUGCCGGCGCGCGGGCAGCAUUUCCUUACCGGUACGCUAGGCUAACUAAUCUCAGCAGAACAUGGACGACGAUCGACGAAAGCAAUACUGUUGAUCUCUCGCCUCUCGCUCUCGUCCAACACGCGCUCACACUGCAAUACUGUUGGUUGAUCGUCUCGCCCGUUGUGUUGGAGAGGUCUUCUCCACGUUCAGUCCAUCUCUCUGCAGGCAGCCAAGCUAGCGAAGCACGGACGACAAUAAUGAACUGUGUCUUCUCCUGCCAGGGCCUCAGCCCUAUGAACGUCAGAUACCUGUAUGCGGCUAUCUUCCUCGUGGCGAACCUGUCUGCGUGGUUCGCACGAGAGAACACCGUAUCGUAUUACCUGAAGCAGCGACUCAGCGGCGCCUGUCAGGGUGACCGGGGUUGUCUCGCGGCUGAAAGCGUGCUCGUGGCGAGCCAUGCCUUCUUUCUCUUUUUUAUGGCCAUGUUCUUCUCCACUGUACGCACCGGCAAGGUGAAUGAGUUGAGAAAUUCAUGGCACUGCGGGUGGUGGCCAGUGAAGAUUGCCCUCUUCAUGGUCUGUUCUCUCAUAUCUGUCUUGGCUUCAUACUGGUGGAUCCAAAUCUAUGGAUAUCUCUUGUAGUUUAGCUCAUAAGUUUUAUGAGAUUUAUCAUAAGGCUGAACUACAAAUUGCGCCAAACCAAUUAUGAAGAAAGGUAGCUCGUGGUGCUAGGGAGGGAUCAAAUGACUCGGGUGGGAAGUGGGACAAGGAGUGAAGCGUCGAGGAAAAUUUAGAUAAAAAUUAAAAUUUCAUUAGAUUUAACCAUACCUACUAUGUAAAAGUUUGUUUAUUUUGAUGUAUAUAUAUAUAUAUCUAAACCU
This is an RNA transcript of Zea mays, 2634 nucleotides long. RefSeq lists it as uncharacterized. NCBI's taxonomy places the organism in Eukaryota, Viridiplantae, Streptophyta, Magnoliopsida, Poales, Poaceae. The record is from RefSeq and is marked validated. The transcript is spliced from 12 exons.